GAUUGAACGCUGGCGGCAGGCUUAACACAUGCAAGUCGAGCGGAAACGAUGGUAGCUUGCUACCAGGCGUCGAGCGGCGGACGGGUGAGUAAUACUUAGGAAUCUACCUAGUAGUGGGGGAUAGCACGGGGAAACUCGUAUUAAUACCGCAUACGUCCUACGGGAGAAAGGGGGCAACUUGUUGCUCUCGCUAUUAGAUGAGCCUAAGUCGGAUUAGCUAGAUGGUGGGGUAAAGGCCUACCAUGGCGACGAUCUGUAGCUGGUCUGAGAGGAUGAUCAGCCACACCGGGACUGAGACACGGCCCGGACUCCUACGGGAGGCAGCAGUGGGGAAUAUUGGACAAUGGGGGAAACCCUGAUCCAGCCAUGCCGCGUGUGUGAAGAAGGCCUUUUGGUUGUAAAGCACUUUAAGCAGUGAAGAAGACUCUUCGGUUAAUACCCGGAGACGAUGACAUUAGCUGCAGAAUAAGCACCGGCUAACUCUGUGCCAGCAGCCGCGGUAAUACAGAGGGUGCAAGCGUUAAUCGGAAUUACUGGGCGUAAAGCGAGCGUAGGUGGCUUGAUAAGUCAGAUGUGAAAUCCCCGGGCUUAACCUGGGAACUGCAUCUGAAACUGUUAGGCUAGAGUAGGUGAGAGGGAAGUAGAAUUUCAGGUGUAGCGGUGAAAUGCGUAGAGAUCUGAAGGAAUACCGAUGGCGAAGGCAGCUUCCUGGCAUCAUACUGACACUGAGGCUCGAAAGCGUGGGUAGCAAACAGGAUUAGAUACCCUGGUAGUCCACGCCGUAAACGAUGUCUACUAGUCGUUGGGUCCCUUGAGGACUUAGUGACGCAGCUAACGCAAUAAGUAGACC
RNAcentral lists this ribosomal RNA (850 nucleotides) under uncultured Psychrobacter sp. Its description in RNAcentral is "bacterial SSU rRNA". It matches the Rfam family "Bacterial small subunit ribosomal RNA", at positions 27 to 870 of the family's 1533-position model. The record is from RNAcentral. Lineage: Bacteria; Pseudomonadati; Pseudomonadota; Gammaproteobacteria; Moraxellales; Moraxellaceae.